RNAcentral lists this ribosomal RNA (506 nucleotides) under uncultured bacterium. Its description in RNAcentral is "bacterial SSU rRNA". It matches the Rfam family "Bacterial small subunit ribosomal RNA", at positions 28 to 582 of the family's 1533-position model. The record is from RNAcentral.
AGCGAACGCUGGCGGCAGGCCUAACACAUGCGAGUCGAACGGUCCUUCGGGACAGUGGCGGACGGGUGAGUAACGCGUGGGAACGUGCCCUUAGGUUCGGAACAACUCAGGGAAACUUGAGCUAAUACCGAAUGUGCCCUACGGGGGAAAGAUUUAUCGCCUUUGGAGCGGCCCGCGUCUGAUUAGCUAGUUGGUGAGGUAAAGGCUCACCAAGGCUACGAUCAGUAGCUGGUCUGAGAGGAUGAUCAGCCACACUGGGACUGAGACACGGCCCAGACUCCUACGGGAGGCAGCAGUGGGGAAUCUUGCGCAAUGGGCGAAAGCCUGACGCAGCCAUGCCGCGUGAAUGAUGAAGGUCUUAGGAUUGUAAAAUUCUUUCACCGGGGACGAUGAUGACGGUACCCGGAGAAGAAGCCCCUGCUAACUUCGUGCCAGCAGCCGCGGUAAUACGAAGGGGGCUAGCGUUGCUCGGAAUUACUGGGCGUAAAGGGCGCGUAGGCGGACGU